This 426-nucleotide ribosomal RNA is filed under the name uncultured Prosthecobacter sp. RNAcentral's name for it is "bacterial SSU rRNA". It matches the Rfam family "Bacterial small subunit ribosomal RNA", at positions 355 to 774 of the family's 1533-position model. Lineage: Bacteria; Pseudomonadati; Verrucomicrobiota; Verrucomicrobiia; Verrucomicrobiales; Verrucomicrobiaceae. The record is from RNAcentral.
UCGAGAAUCUUUCACAAUGGGGGCAACCCUGAUGGAGCGACGCCGCGUGGAGGAUAAGGUCUUCGGAUUGUAAACUCCUGUCAUGCGCGAACAAGGUUGCAGGGAUAAUACCUUUGCAAAUUGAUGGUAGCGCAAGAGGAAGAGACGGCUAACUCUGUGCCAGCAGCCGCGGUAAUACAGAGGUCUCAAGCGUUGUUCGGAAUCACUGGGCGUAAAGGGUGCGUAGGUGGCAUGGUAAGUCAGAUGUGAAAGCCCAGGGCUCAACCUUGGAAUUGCAUCCGAUACUGCUGUGCUAGAGUACUGGAGGGGUGACUAGAAUUCUCGGUGUAGCAGUGAAAUGCGUAGAUAUCGAGAGGAAUACCAAAGGCGUAGGCAGGUCACUGGACAGUUACUGACACUGAGGCACGAAGGCCAGGGGAGCAAACG